GUUGAAUAAGACAUGCACAAGAUUUUAAUGGUGAUUAUUAUAGAUAGACUACGCAAUAGCUAAUCUAUUAAAAAAAUAUCUAUAUCUUACAGCAAACUAGUAUGCAUAUCGCUGGUCGGCAGCAGCAAGGAGUGGAGCGUUUCCAUGCCCGAUACCGAGGAGAUCCUGUGCGUCACGGCGGGCAGCGACGUCGUCGCGUGUGCGACUAACGCGAGGUUGCUGCGGCUGUUCACGCCAAUGGGCACGCAGAGACAGGUCUGAUGAUGCUUCGACUUCAAGGGUAAAAACGAAUAAAACCACAGAUUGUAUACGAGGAACACCGCCAAAAUAUGGCUACAGCAACAUAGAAAUGACUCCACGAAAAAAAAAACUUGUAAAAAAGUUGCAGCGAACACAGUGUUUGUUAUCAUCACUCUCAAAAACAUCCGUCGAUUUGGACAAUUGAGACAGACAGAUUUAACAGACAUAGAAAAUCAACCUAUUGUAUAUUUAAGCGGUUACAUAGCUUAUAGACUGUUGAAGAACGUAGGCUGUCAAAUGUGUUCUAAUUUGCUGAAACUGGAAGAUGUUACAGAUCACCCAAUGUAUAAAUUUAUAAGCUUGCGGGAGUGGUGGCAAGAAAAGAAAUCAUUAACGUACCCAUCUAUCCAGCUGUGUCGUACAAUUGAGGAAGCGAAAAACUAUUUUGAAAAAAAUAGUCAUUUAUUAUAUGAAGAAAAUGUCGGGCAAAUGUUUUGCACACUUUUUGCGGCAAACAUUAACAUAACCUGGUGGACAUGUAAGGAACAUGAGGAUUUCAUGAAAAAACAAUUAUUUUGGUUUGUGACCAAAAUCUUAAUUAGAAGACAGUGCCAAAUAUUAAAUUCGGAUAUUAUUAAAACAGAAGAAAUUUCUGCGAACGCUGCAAAGAUAGCUCAACUAAGAAGCGCUGCAAAAUAAUAUAUGUAAUUACGAGUAUGCAAUAUCAAUUCCACGCGGACGAAGUCGCGGGCAACACCGCGACUUCGUCCGCGUGGAAUCUUAUCUUCAACAUUUUACAUCUUUAGUACCUAUAAUUUUCAUAUCCAAGCAAUGUUGACAUUUUUUAGCAAGUUGUAUGAAGUUUUAAGUCAAGUGGAUUUUGAUGUUGGUUGCUGAAAUUACUUUUCUUGUAUUCUUAUAAUAGGUACCUAUGCCCUUAUACAAAGAUUCAAGUUCCGCAUUCCGCACUCACAAAAUAUCUGAUCUCCAUACAAACUUUCAACCCCUUUUUCACCACCUUAGGGGAUGAAUUUUCAUAAAUGCUGAAAUGAGUUUUCUUGUAUUUUAAUUUAAAACGUUUUUACAAAGUUUCAAGUUCCUUGCUUAAAAUAAAAUUUGCACCCGCAGACAAACUUCCAUCCCCUUUUUAACCCCCUUAGGGGUUGAAAUUCCAAAAACGUUGCAAUCACUUUUUUUUGCAUACGGCUAUUAUGCCUUUCUAAGAAGUUUCAAAACCAUUUGUAAUGGAUUCAAACUUUCAACCCCUUUUUAACCCUGUUAGGGGAUGAAUUUUACAAAACGCUGAAAUUACUUUUCCUGUCUUCUAAUAAUAUCCCUAAAUACAAAGAUUCAAGUCCAACACUCGAAAAAAUGUUUGAUAUCCAUACAAACUUUCAACCCCUUUUUCAUCACUUUAGAGGUUGAAUUUUCAAAAACGCUGAAAUUAGUUUUCUUGUAUUUAAAUAAUAUAUCUUUUAACGAAGUUUCAAAUUCGUAGCUCAAAAGAAAACUUUAACCCCAUACAAACUUUACGUUCAUAACAUAAGCGUAUUGUAAUAAUAAACUAUCUGUAUCAUAUCUUUAAUAUGUUAAAUAAAAUUAUUUUUAUAUUU
Cydia fagiglandana is the source of this 1853-nucleotide long non-coding RNA. RefSeq lists it as uncharacterized. The record is from RefSeq and is a predicted model, not a curated record. Lineage: Eukaryota; Metazoa; Arthropoda; Insecta; Lepidoptera; Tortricidae. The transcript has 2 exons.